UGGGGAAUAUUGCACAAUGGGCGCAAGCCUGAUGCAGCCAUGCCGCGUGUGUGAAGAAGGCCUUCGGGUUGUAAAGCACUUUCAGCGGGGAGGAAGGCGGUGAGGUUAAUAACCUCAUCGAUCGACGUUACCCGCAGAAGAAGCACCGGCUAACUCCGUGCCAGCAGCCGCGGUAAUACGGAGGGUGCAAGCGUUAAUCGGAAUUACUGGGCGUAAAGCGCACGCAGGCGGUCUGUCAAGUCGGAUGUGAAAUCCCCGGGCUCAACCUGGGAACUGCAUUCGAAACUGGCAGGCUAGAGUCUUGUAGAGGGGGGUAGAAUUCCAGGUGUAGCGGUGAAAUGCGUAGAGAUCUGGAGGAAUACCGGUGGCGAAGGCGGCCCCCUGGACAAAGACUGACGCUCAGGUGCGAAAGCGUGGGGAGCAAACAGG
RNAcentral lists this ribosomal RNA (429 nucleotides) under Chloroflexota bacterium. RNAcentral describes it as "Chloroflexi bacterium partial 16S ribosomal RNA". It matches the Rfam family "Bacterial small subunit ribosomal RNA", at positions 355 to 776 of the family's 1533-position model. The record is from RNAcentral. Lineage: Bacteria; Bacillati; Chloroflexota.